This 5003-nucleotide long non-coding RNA is filed under the name Solanum tuberosum (potato). RNAcentral describes it as "long non-coding RNA (STUB_LNC007139)". The record is from RNAcentral. Lineage: Eukaryota; Viridiplantae; Streptophyta; Magnoliopsida; Solanales; Solanaceae.
AUUGGAAUUGGUUAAUUGAUCAGUUGAUUAAUUCAAUUAGUUAGUCAAGAUAAUUAGCUUUAUUUUAAGUUGAUUAGAAAGUUAGUUAGGUUGUCAGAUAGUUAGUUAAACUUGUCAGUGAUCAGUUAGAUCUAGAAGCUGUAUAUAUACACAUGUAGUGUAGCUGAUGUAUAGUUAAUUGUGAUGAAUGAAAGUUUUCAGUUUCCAUCUAAAUCUCUCUGUAAAAUUCUACAUGGUAUCAGAGCUCUGAACUGCUAAUCAGUCAGUUCAAUACGAUCCUGUUGCAAUUCAAUUCGAACAUUGAAGAACCAGAGAGAUGGGAGAUGCUGAAGCUGUCACCAUUGAUGCAUCACAAAUUGUUACAGUUGAAACUAUCGAUGAUGUCGAUCGAAAGCGAAACCAUCCACUUCACCUUCAUCACUCAGAUACUCCUGCUAGUGUGCUCACCACUGUGCAGCUUACAGGGAUGGAGAAUUACUCUCUAUGGAGCAGAUCCAUGUUGAUUAACCUUCGAGCCAAGAGUAAGUUGGGAUUUGUGUUGGGGACUUGCAAGAAGAGUGCUUAUCAAGGUGAACUGGAAGAGCAAUGGGAGAAGUGCAAUGCAUUUGUACUUGCUUGGAUCAUGAACACUGUGUCGAAGGAGCUGCUCAGUGGGAUUGUCUAUGCUACAGAUGCAGCCAUGGUGUGGACAGAUCUGAAAGAGAGAUUUGAUAAGGUUGACGGAUCGAGAAGUUAUCAACUACACAGGGAGAUCUGCACGAUUCAUCAAGGUAAUUUGACAAUUUCAACAUAUUUCUCGAAAUUGCGAUUGUUGUGGGAUGAGUUUGAUGCACUGGUUUCUCCACCUUCAUGCAAAUGCGAUAAAUCUAGAACUUAUGUUGAUCACCUAGCUUGUUUGAGACUAUUUGCUUUUUUGAUGGGAUUGAAUGAAGUGUAUGGUCAUGCACGAAGUCAAAUCCUGAUGAUGAACCCUCUACCUACUGUUGGAAAGGCAUAUGCUAUGUUGAUGGCAGAUGAAGGCCAACGUAUGACUGCAAGUUCACAUGCAGUGGGGGGUAUUUUAGAUCCAACUGCUCUGUAUGCAGGGAAAGGAAUUCUAGAUCCAACUGCAUUAUAUGCAGGGAAGGGGAAUUCUCAGAGAAAAUUUCAGGAUAAAAAGAAGAAUUGGGAUCAAAUAUGUGAUCACUGUAAAUUGCAAGGCCACAUCAAGGAAAAUUGUUUCAGGUUAAUUGGAUACCCUGUUGAUUGGAAGUUCAAGAAGAAGUCAGGACCACCAGCAAAUCAAGUUCAGAAUAAUAAGCAACAGGACAUGGCAAAUCAUGCAAAUGCUACCAGAUAUGAUGAUUCUGAUGAUGCUUUUGGCCCUUUGCUCCAAGAGAAGAACAUGUAUCACAAGUAUAAGCACAUGAUGGACAAAGAGGAAGAAGGAUCAAGCUCCAAAGGUGCAUUGGAUAUGGCUAACAUGGCAGGUAUAAUUUCAAAACCCAAAGCAUUAUCAGUGACAACUAGAGAAACCGAAAAGGGAGAUAGAUGGAUAAUGGAUUCAGGUGCUACAUGCCAUAUGACAUCUAAGCUCAAUAAAUUGACAUCUGCAUCUAGUUGUCUAGGCAGGAGGGUGCAUUUACCUAAUGGUGAAUCUACUUCAGUGUCUUAUGUUGGUAAAUGUGAGACUAUUGAUGGCAAUGUAUUGUAUAAUGUUUUGGUGGUACCUGCAUUCAAGCAUGAUCUUAUUUCAGUAUCACAGAUUACAAGACAAUUGAAAUGCUCAGUUAACUUCUUUCCUGAGUUUUUUGUUCUUCACGACCUCUCCAAUGGGAAAGUUAAGGGGAUUGGUAAGGAGAUUGAUGGACUCUACUACUUCCCUAUUCAGAACCCAUGUGGAGAAGGAAGGAAUGAUGAUAUGGUGUCCCUCACUCAACACUCAGAUGCACACAAGCUCCUUUGGCAUUACAGGCUAGGACACCCUUCAAUAAAGGUCUUGAAAUAUGUAACUCUAGGAAAGGAGAAUAUAGACAUUACUGCAUGUAAUAAAUGUUCAAUAUGUCCCCUUGCAAAGCAAACCAGAUUGCCUUUCCACUCAAGUGUAUCUAGAGCUGUUGAGGUUUUUGACUUGCUUCACUUAGAUAUUUGGGACCAUAUAGGACUGCUACUCAUAAUGGUUGUAGAUUUUUUCUGACAAUUGUUGAUGAUAAUUCAAGAAUGACCUGGUUGUAUCUGUUGAGAAUGAAGAGUGAUGUCUUCCAAGUUCUAAAGUUUUUUUUUGCUUUAGUUCAAACUCAGUUUAACAAGCAUGUCAAAAGGAUAAGAUCAUAUAAUGGCACAAAAUUCUUUAAUAAUGAAUGCAGUGCUUUGUUUAAGUCUCUUGGUAUUAUUCAUGAAAGUAGUUGUCCUCACACUCCACAACAAAAUGGAGUGGUGGAGAGAAAACACAGGCACAUACUUGAGGUAGCAAGGGCACUAAGAUUUCAAGGUGUUAUUCCCAUCAGAUUUUGGGGAGAGUGUGUAUUAGCUGUUGUUUAUCUGAUUAACAGAUUACCUACUGAAGUUUUGAAGGGACAAACUCCUUAUGAAAAAUUCAAUGGCCAUAAGGCAAAUAUUGAUCAUCUCAGGACAAUAGGAUGUCUAUGCUAUGCAACUAGAAUGGUUAAGCCUGAUAAGUUCACUCCUAGAGCUGAGGCAUGUGUUAUGAUGGGAUACUCAGCAACUCAGAAGGGUUAUAUUUUGUACAGUCUGUUUCAACAGAAGCUCUUGGUGAAUAGAGAUGUUGUUUUCAAGGAGGAUGUAUUUCCCUUUUAUAAGAUGACCAACACACAACCACCAGUAUUCUCAGAAAGUAACAGUCCUCCCAUGAUUGAUGAUGAACUUGAUAAGACACCUAUGUCCAUAGAAGACAACUUGGUAGAUCUGAAUGUUGAAUGUUCUGAGCAUGAUGAUUCUUAUGUGGAAAAUAUUACCAAUGAUCAACCAGGUAUAGCUGAAGAAAAUACAGAAAAUGCGGAUCAUGCAGAUGUUGAUGAAAGAGCCCAGGCAGGAGGAAGUAGACAGUCUUCCAGGGUUUCUCAUCCCCCCAUUUGGAUGAAAGACUAUGUUACUCAAGGGUCUAAGCCAUCUCACCCUUAUUCUCAGAGCAACUAUGUGUCUUAUGAUGGUGUCUCUCCUCAAUAUAAGGUUUAUUUGUCUCAGUUUUCCACAGAGACUGAACCUAGGAACUAUGAAGAAGCAAUAAAAGACACUAGGUGGAUACAUGCCAUGCAACAAGAGAUUCAAGCAUUAGAAGAAAAUGGUACUUGGGAGAUAGUUCAAUUGCCAAAAGGAAAGACUGUUAUAGGAUGCAAAUGGGUGUUUAAAAUCAAGUAUAAGGCUGAUGGUGAGAUUGAUAGAUUCAAAGCAAGAUUAGUAGCUAAAGGUUAUAGUCAGACUGAGGGGAUUGACUAUCAAGAAACCUUUUCACCUGUAGUGAAAAUGGUGACUGUUAGGGCAAUCAUAGCCUUAGCUGCUGCUGAGAACUGGAAGAUUUUUCAGAUGGAUGUAUUCAAUGCUUUUCUACAGGGUGAUUUGUCUGAGGAGGUAUAUAUGGAACUUCCUAAGGGAUUUUGUGGUCAGGGGAAGAAUAAAUAUCUAGUCUGUAAACUUGUUAAGUCACUCUAUGGACUUAAACAAGCAUCAAGACAAUGGAAUGCCAAGUUGACAGAGGCUUUCUUUGAUUCAGGCUAUACACAGAGUCACCUCGAUUAUUCUUUGUUUACUAAAAGGAGUGGAUCUAGCUUGGUAAUAAUCUUGGUAUAUGUUGAUGAUCUGUUGAUUACAGGAAAUGACAUUGAGUUAAUAGAAGAAACCAAGUGUGUACUGCACAGUUAUUUCAAAAUUAAAGAUCUAGGAGAACUUAAAUAUUUUUUGGGAAUUGAGUUCCUUAGAUCUAGCAAAGGUUUUGUGAUGAACCAAAGGAAAUAUGCUUUGGAGUUGAUAGCUAAAGCAGGGUUGGGAAAUGCUAAACCAAGUUUGACACCACUAGAAUGCAACAUAAAGUUGACCAAUGUUGAGUUUGAUCAAGAUAUCAAGACUACUGACAUUUUAUUUGAGGAUGUUUCUAGAUACCAAAGGCUUAUAGGUAAGCUGCUUUAUCUUACCAACACAAGGCCGGACAUAGCCUUUGCAGUACAGACCUUAAGUCAGUUUAUGCAACAACCAAAAAUGUCACACUGGAUUGCUGCUCUAAGGGUGAUAAAAUACAUUAAACUGGAACCAGAGAAGGGACUGUUGAUGAGCUCAGAUCACAGACCUCACUUAACAGGCUACUGUGAUGCAGAUUGGGCUGCCUGUCCAAAUACAAGAAGAUCUGUUACUGGUUUUGUAUUGAAGUUUGGUGAUUCGCUCAUUUCCUGGAAAUCCAAGAAGCAAAAUACUGUCUCUAGGAGCUCUGCAGAGGCUGAGUACAGGAGUUUGGCUAGUUUGACAGCUGAAGUAGUAUGGGUUGCUGGCUUGUUCAGGGAAUUGAAUGUAAAACUGAUUGAACCAUCUUCUAUUUUUUGUGAUAGCAAGGCUGCUAUACAAAUUGCUGCAAACCCAGUGUUUCAUGAACGUACUAAACACAUAGAGAUUGACUGCCAUUUCAUUCGAGAGAAGAUUCAGAAAAGACUCAUCAAGACAACCUACAUCAACACUAAAGACCAACAAGCUGAUUUGCUUACUAAGGCUUUGGGAAGGACGCAACAUGAAUUCUUACUAGACAAGCUUGGAGUAUUGAACUUGUUCAGUACAUACUGCUUGAGGAGGAGUAUUGGAAUUGGUUAAUUGAUCAGUUGAUUAAUUCAAUUAGUUAAUCAAGAUAAUUAGCUUUAUUUUAAGUUGAUUAGAAAGUUAGUUAGGUUGUCAGAUAGUUAGUUAAACUUGUCAGUGAUCAGUUAGAUCUAGAAGCUGUAUAUAUACACAUGUAGUGUAGCUGAUGUAUAGUUAAUUGUGAUGAAUGAAAGUUUUCAGUUUCCAUCUAAAUCUCUCUGUAAAAU